This 1404-nucleotide ribosomal RNA is filed under the name uncultured bacterium. RNAcentral describes it as "16S ribosomal RNA". It matches the Rfam family "Bacterial small subunit ribosomal RNA". The record is from RNAcentral.
AGAGUUUGAUCUGGCUCAGGAUGAACGCUAGCGGCAGGCUUAACACAUGCAAGUCGAGGGGCAGCGAGUAAAUUGCUUGCAAUUUAUGUCGGCGACCGGCGGACGGGUGCGUAACGCGUAUGCAACCUACCCAUUACAGGGGGAUAACACUAAGAAAUCGGUACUAAUACCCCAUAACAUCAGAGGAGGCAUCUCCUUUGGUUGAAAACUCCGGUGGUAAUGGAUGGGCAUGCGUUGUAUUAGUUAGUUGGUAAGGUAACGGCUUACCAAGACUACGAUACAUAGGGGGACUGAGAGGUUAACCCCCCACAUUGGUACUGAGACACGGACCAAACUCCUACGGGAGGCAGCAGUGAGGAAUAUUGGUCAAUGGACGCAAGUCUGAACCAGCCAUGCCGCGUGCAGGAAGACGGCCCUAUGAGUUGUAAACUGCUUUUGUACGAGGGUAAACGCAGAUACGUGUAUCUGUCUGAAAGUAUCGUACGAAUAAGGAUCGGCUAACUCCGUGCCAGCAGCCGCGGUAAUACGGAGGAUGCGAGCGUUAUCCGGAUUUAUUGGGUUUAAAGGGUGCGCAGGCGGUCUGUUAAGUCAGCGGUCAAAGCCCGGGGCUCAACCCCGGCCCGCCGUUGAAACUGGCGGUCUCGAGUUGGAGAGAAGUAUGCGGAAUGCGCGGUGUAGCGGUGAAAUGCAUAGAUAUCGCGCAGAACUCCGAUUGCGAAGGCAGCAUGCCGGCUCCACACUGACGCUGAGGCACGAAAGCGUGGGUAUCGAACAGGAUUAGAUACCCUGGUAGUCCACGCAGUAAACGAUGAAUGCUGGCUGUCCGGGGGGCCUGACCCCCUGGGUGCAGAAAGCGAAAGCGAAUAAGCAUUCCACCUGGGGAGUACGCCGGCAACGGUGAAACUCAAAGGAAAUUGACGGGGGGCCCGCACAAGCGGAGGAACAUGUGGUUUAAUUAGAUGAUACGCGAGGAACCUUACCCGGGCUCAAACGGGGAGUGACUCAGGCAGAGACGCCUGUUUCCCACGGGACACUCCCCGAGGUGCUGCAUGGUUGUCGUCAGCUCGUGCCGUGAGGUGUCGGCUUAAGUGCCAUAACGAGCGCAACCCCCGCGUGCAGUUGCUAACAGAUAACGCUGAGGACUCUGCACGGACUGCCGGCGCAAGCCGCGAGGAAGGCGGGGAUGACGUCAAAUCAGCACGGCCCUUACGUCCGGGGCGACACACGUGUUACAAUGGCAGGUACAGCGGGAAGCCACCCGGCGACGGGGCGCGGAACCCGAAAACCUGUCUCAGUUCGGAUUGGAGUCUGCAACCCGACUCCAUGAAGCUGGAUUCGCUAGUAAUCGCGCAUCAGCCACGGCGCGGUGAAUACGUUCCCGGGCCUUGCACACACCGCCCGUCA